RNAcentral lists this unclassified non-coding RNA (257 nucleotides) under uncultured fungus. Its description in RNAcentral is "partial contains 5.8S ribosomal RNA, internal transcribed spacer 2, and large subunit ribosomal RNA". The record is from RNAcentral. Lineage: Eukaryota; Fungi.
AACGCACAUUGCGCCCCCUGGCAUUCCGGGGGGCAUGCCCGUUCGAGCGUCAUUUCAAACCCUCAAGCACCGCUUGGCCAUGGGCGUCCACGCCCCCCGCACGUCGGGGGGCGCGCCCCAAAGACCUCGGCGGUGGCACCGAGCCUCUGAGCGUAGUAGAAACACCCCGCUCACCGAGGCCCGGCGUCGCCCGCCCCCAGUCCCCCAGCACCUUCAAGGUUGACCUCGGAUCGGGUAGGGAUACCCGCUGAACUUAA